UACGUAGGUGGCAAGCGUUGUCCGGAUUUACUGGGCGUAAAGAGCGCGCAGGCGGUCGUUCAAGUCGCGUGUGAAAGCCCCCGGCUCAACUGGGGAGGGUCACGCGAUACUGAUCGACUCGAAGGCAGGAGAGGGUAGUGGAAUUCCCGGUGUAGUGGUGAAAUGCGUAGAUAUCGGGAGGAACACCAGUGGCGAAGGCGGCGAUCUGGACAGAUAUUGACGCUGAGGUGCGAAAGCGUGGGGAGCAAACAGG
Molecule: ribosomal RNA, 253 nt
Filed under: uncultured bacterium
Lineage: Bacteria
Description: partial 16S ribosomal RNA
Rfam family: Bacterial small subunit ribosomal RNA
Source: RNAcentral